GCUGUUCCUGCCACUGUGUGUUUAACCUUGUUUGGGGAUCAUGUCCGAAGAGUAAUUGUGAGGCCUGGGCCAGAUGCCCUCCAGGCCGGCGCUGUGCUCGGCCCUGGCGUAGGCAGAUGAUCCAGGGCUGCGAUGCUCUGGGAGCAGGAUCCGCUCUCGGGCAGCGGCCCCUCCCACACAGGCAAUUGGGUUCAGGAGCCAAGAGCUGCCCUCGAUGUCGUGCAGAUGCCGAAUGCCACAGAGACAUAUUGCUGCACGCUGAGGCCGUCUCAAAUUGAACAUUACCACGUUAGUGAACCAGCUGGACUUGACAAGACGCAAGUAAACCCUGACUUUACUGUGCCCCCGCACUCCUUCUUCCUGUGGCAUCGUUCCGUGCGCGCCAUGGCUUCUCAGAUAAUAGAAAAUCCAGUCCAGUUUAAUAAUCAGAUCGCUCCAGGCCAGGGUAAUAUCGAAAUUCUCAAUUCUAUUCCAAGUAAUGCUUCUCCCUCCCAGCUCUGCGUUGCUUCCCUCUCUCAGCCCGUGGAGGAGGGGUGGGCACAGUCGAACUUCUCUUUCUUUGCUCCAUCUUGUCCCAUCUCCUCUUCCACUCAUUACCUGCUGCUUUGGACCCACCUAGGGCCCCGCCCUGUGAGCAGAGAGGAGGCGUGAGGGGCAGCGAAUGUCUAGCUGGCCUGGUUCAGUUAUGGGCUGGAGUCUGCCCUCUGCAUGGGGCAGACGUCCACUGCCGACCAUUCUCCCAAGGGGACCUUCCGCAGAUUCUCGGAGCUCCCCAGCUUCCCCUGCGUCUCCCUUGGAUGUGGAGCGCCUCCUCUCCUUGGCCACAUUCAGCCCCCUCUCAGCCCUGGGCGUCCUUUCCGUGGGAUUCACUGCUCCUCCAGGCUGACCUCCGGGUGAGAUCAUUUAUAAAAUGAUUCCAGGCUCGCUCUUCAGCAAAGGGCCGGCCUUUGGUCCAAGGGAGCCAUGCACCUUUGUCCCACUGUGGCUGGAACAGCAGCUCGUUCCCAACACAGCCUCCUCUCCUGUUUUGCUCCACCAGGCCCAGCGAGCCUCUCACGUUUGAUUUCUCGCAGCACACGUCUGGUGCCAGCCCUUGUGUCUUCUGAACUUCAGGGGCAUGGAGAGCUCUGCCAGCGGCUGUCGGGAAGUGUCUUUAUUGUGCAUCUCAUCGGUGAGCAGGAAGCUCUCCCUCUGCUUCCCACUGGGGUCGGAACACAGCACACCCAUAGCAUUCCAGAACAGUCCCUACAAUCUGCCUCUUCCACAUUCCAGCUCCUUCUAUCUGGCCUAGAGACAUGAUCCUCAGUGCUGUUGCCUGUAAAGAAAGCGCAGUGAUGCCAACCCUCAAGAUUAUUUACAAGGCGAAGAGCCCAUCCACAGGGAAAAUCUCUGCCAGACUGAAGCGCUCCGCCACCUCUGCUCUUGUGCUUAUUUGCCGGACAACCUCACAGGCUGGUGCAACACUCUCCCUCUUUUCAGCCACAGGACGAAAGAGUCACGCUCCCAUACGUGACACCACCUCCAGGGAGAGCAGAGUUUUGAGCGAUGCCUGGUGCACUAGUUAGGACUUCACCUCUUCUCCCCGGUUGAAGGACGCCUGUGAGCUGGACUCAUGGUACGGCAGGGACAGCCUUGGCUCUGCACGAUUUUUUUCCUAAGUUACCAUUUUUAAAUUCCACUCUCUAGCUGUUGAGAUAGGAGGUUCCUCCCCAGAGGGUAGGACACUGUCCCUCAAAGGCUGCCGCCCUGCGCGGCAAGGGCUCACAGGAGUCCUCUGAUUUCAAGGAAAAUCUGUGCUGGCUUUUUGGGGGUGUCUGGAGACCAGUCUUGGGAGACACUGAUAGAGAAUGCCAGAAAGUUGGCUGUGUUUUGAGCUCAUUGCUGGUGAGUCUGUGUACCUGGCUCACAGGAAACGGGUCAGAUAGGGCUCUGUCUGGGGGCGAUUAUCCUGAUAUUCACCCUUUGGGGUACAUUUUCUAUAUUAUAUCAGUGGGAGAAAUGGCAGUGUCCAAGGGCAUGUGCUGGCCCCUACGUCGGGGGUUAUGAGACCCUCCUCACCCAUCUCCUGUGCAUCUGCCGGGGGGCCUGCCCUGCUCGCAGUCCCGCAUCUACCCGUGACCCACCCAUUUUUCUUAGAGAAACACUCGUGCUUUCCAUGCCUGAGGUUUGAGGGAAGUUGAGGCAUGUCACCCCUCCCCAGCUCCAGGGUGGGCACUCAGAGGCCUGAGUGGGUUCAACGAUGUGUCCCCAAGAUCCCAGCACACGUCACGGUGGCCCUGUGAGUUUUCAGGCCACGGACUCUCUGUCCCCUAUUAUCUGUUCCAGCUUGGUCAGAAUCAAGGUGGUGAACAUUCUUCCAUUAUUAUUUCUUUAAUUUGAAAAAAUGCAUAAUAAUGCACAAAUAUAUCCAACAAUACAGAAGUGAAAUGUGAAAUGCCCCUCCUCCGACACUUACUUCUCUCUUCCUAGAGGUCACCUCUGUUCUGUUUAUACCAUCUAGGUACCUAUAGAAAUACAUAGUUUUAAAAAUGCAUAAAUGGAACCAUACUAUGUAUGUCAUUCUGAAACUUCAUUUUUCACCAUCCAAUGUGCCUUGUGUGGAUCUUUCCCUGAUUCUUUGUAAUCAAGCAACCCAAGUCCGUUUCAGAUCGGUGUGGGAAAGGGUGCAGUGUUCAGUAGAUGCUGUUGGGAUAGCUGACUAUCCAUUUGGAAGAGUUACAGUGAGAUAACGAACGUAAAACCCAGGUAUGUGAAGGAUCAAACAUGCUUUUAAAAACCAUAGAAUUUGCAUGGGUCUCAUAUAAGACCAUUUUUAAGCCUGGUAAAUGAGAAGGCUUUUUUCUAGUAUGACAUAAAUGUGGAAGCCAUCAAAGAAAUGACAAAUUUGAG
RNAcentral lists this long non-coding RNA (2889 nucleotides) under Equus caballus (horse). RNAcentral's name for it is "lncRNA (ENSECAG00000041853.2)". The record is from RNAcentral. Lineage: Eukaryota; Metazoa; Chordata; Mammalia; Perissodactyla; Equidae.